AACAAACGCUGGCGGCGUGCCUAAUACAUGCAAGUCGAACGGGGAAUAUACCUUCGGGUAUUAGUACUAGUGGCGCACGGGUGAGUAAUACGUAGAUAAUCUUCCUUAAAGUGGGGAAUAACCAGUCGAAAGACUGGCUAAUACCGCAUAAGACCACAGGCUCUGAGGAGCUAGGGGUUAAAGGCUUCGGUCGCUUUAAGAUGAGUCUGCGUCCCAUUAGCUAGUUGGCGGGGUAAAAGCCCACCAAGGCUGUGAUGGGUAGCUGGUCUGAGAGGAUGGCCAGCCACACUGGGACUGAGACACGGCCCAGACUCCUACGGGAGGCAGCAGUAGGGAAUUUUGCACAAUGGACGAAAGUCUGAUGCAGCGACGCCGCGUGAGUGAUGAAGGCC
RNAcentral lists this ribosomal RNA (392 nucleotides) under uncultured bacterium. RNAcentral describes it as "bacterial SSU rRNA". It matches the Rfam family "Bacterial small subunit ribosomal RNA", at positions 29 to 416 of the family's 1533-position model. The record is from RNAcentral.